This 864-nucleotide ribosomal RNA is filed under the name uncultured archaeon. RNAcentral's name for it is "bacterial SSU rRNA". It matches the Rfam family "Archaeal small subunit ribosomal RNA", at positions 20 to 879 of the family's 1478-position model. The record is from RNAcentral.
GAGGCUACUGCCAUCAGCGUUCGAUUAAGCCAUGUUAGUUAAGGGGACCUUCCUUCGGGGAGGUAACCCGGCAGACGGCUCAGUAACACGUGGACAAUUUACCCUUGGGACCAGGAUAACCCCUGGGAAACUGGGGCUAAUACUGGAUAGAGCAUCGGCUGCUGGAAUGCGCGAUGUUCUAAAGCUGAGGCGCCCAAGGAUAGGUCUGCGGCUGAUUAGGUUGUUGUUGAUGUAACGGAUCAACAAGCCCGCGAUCGGUACGGGUUGUGAGAGCAAUAGCCCGGAGAUGGGUUCUGAGAAAAGAACCCAGGUCCUACGGGACGCAUCAGGCGCGAAAACUUUACAAUGUGCGAAAGCGCGAUAAGGGAACUCUGAGUGCCUCCUAAGGAGGCUGUUCAGGUGUCUAAAAAGCAUCUGGAGUAAGGGCUGGGCAAGACCGGUGCCAGCCGCCGCGGUAACACCGGCAGCUCAAGUGGUAGCCAUGUUUAUUGGGUCUAAAGCGUCCGUAGCCGGCUGAGUAAGUUCCUUGGGAAAUUUGACCGCUUAACGGUUAAGCUAUCAGGGAAUACUGCUUGGCUUGGGACCGGGAGAGGUCAGAGGUACUCCAGGGGUAGGGGUGAAAUCUAUUAAUCCUUGGGGGACCACCGGUAGCGAAGGCGUCUGACCAGACCGGGUCCGACGGUGAGGGACGAAGGCUGGGGUCGCGAACCGGAUUAGAUACCCGGGUAGUCCCAGCUGUAAACGAUGCGGGCCAGGUGUUGGCAUUACUGCGAGUGAUGUCAGUGCCAAAGGGAAGCCGUUAAGCCCGCCAUCUGGGGAGUACGGUCGCAAGGCUGAAGCUUAAAGGAAUUGGCGGGGGAGCAC